GAGGCUCUGGUCAAGAAAAUGAAGGAAGGAUAUGGCAGGAUAUUAAUUGAGAAUAAUUGAGACUGGGAUCUCAAUAAACAAGCUUCUACAGUCAGCGGAGUCAUCAGGAUCGGAAUAUCAUUGGCAUUAAACUGUGGAAGGAAAAAGGGUGCUAGAUGGUGAAGAUUUGCAGACUGAAAUCUCAAAAUCAUGUGCCAAUCGUGAUUGAGCUAUCCAGAAUUUGACAAACCAAAGAUGGGGAAUUACUCGGCCAAAAUCCUGCAACACUCUACCUCCCAGCAUUGUCGGUCUAUCUGCGCCAAAUGGAUGCGAUUGGUUCAAGACGGCAGCUCACUACCAUCUUCUUAAGGGUACCUAGAGAUGGGGAAUAAAUGCUGGCUGAGCCAG
Non-coding RNA from Chiloscyllium plagiosum (whitespotted bambooshark), 387 nucleotides. Lineage: Eukaryota; Metazoa; Chordata; Chondrichthyes; Orectolobiformes; Hemiscylliidae. The record is from RefSeq and is a predicted model, not a curated record.